UGAACGCUGGCGGUAGGCCUAACACAUGCAAAUCGAACGGCAGCACAGUAAGAGCUUGCUCUUACGGGUGGCGAGUGGCGGACGGGUGAGGAAUACAUCGGAAUCUACUUUUUCGCGGGGGAUAACGUAGGGAAACUUACGCUAAUACCGCAUACGACCUACGGGUGAAAGCAGGGGAUCUUCGGACCUUGCGCGAUUGAAUGAGCCGAUGUCGGAUUAGCUAGUUGGCGGGGUAAAGGCCCACCAAGGCGACGAUCCGUAGCUGGUCUGAGAGGAUGAUCAGCCACACUGGAACUGAGACACGGUCCAGACUCCUACGGGAGGCAGCAGUGGGGAAUAUUGGACAAUGGGCGCAAGCCUGAUCCAGCCAUACCGCGUGGGUGAAGAAGGCCUUCGGGUUGUAAAGCCCUUUUGUUGGGAAAGAAAAGCAGCAGGUUAAUACCCCGCUGUUCUGACGGUACCCAAAGAAUAAGCACCGGCUAACUUCGUG
RNAcentral lists this ribosomal RNA (490 nucleotides) under uncultured bacterium. RNAcentral describes it as "partial 16S ribosomal RNA". It matches the Rfam family "Bacterial small subunit ribosomal RNA", at positions 30 to 507 of the family's 1533-position model. The record is from RNAcentral.